Non-coding RNA from Pongo abelii (Sumatran orangutan), 52 nucleotides. NCBI's taxonomy places the organism in Eukaryota, Metazoa, Chordata, Mammalia, Primates, Hominidae. The record is from Rfam.
UUUUUAGUUUAAGUAUGCCCUAUGCAAUAUUUGGGACAUACUUAUGCUAAAA